This 183-nucleotide ribosomal RNA is filed under the name uncultured bacterium. RNAcentral's name for it is "partial 16S ribosomal RNA". It matches the Rfam family "Bacterial small subunit ribosomal RNA", at positions 1318 to 1500 of the family's 1533-position model. The record is from RNAcentral.
GCAUGAAGUCGGAAUUGCUAGUAAUCGCAGAUCAGCAUGCUGCGGUGAAUACGUUCCCGGGCCUUGUACACACCGCCCGUCACACCAUGGGAGUCGGUAACACCCGAAGCCUGUAGUCUAACCGCAAGGAGGACGCAGUCGAAGGUGGGAUUGAUGACUGGGGUGAAGUCGUAACAAGGUAUC